GGAUUCCCCUAGUAACUGCGAGUGAAGCGGGAAAAGCUCAAAUUUAAAAUCUGGCGGUCUUUGGCCGUCCGAGUUGUAGUCUGGAGAAGUGCUUUCCGCGCUGGACCGUGUAUAAGUCUCUUGGAACAGAGCGUCAUAGAGGGUGAGAAUCCCGUCUUUGACACGGACUACCAGUGCUUUGUGAUGCGCUCUCAAAGAGUCGCGUUGUUUGGGAAUGCAGCGCAAAAUGGGUGGUGAAUUCCAUCUAAAGCUAAAUAUUGGCGAGAGACCGAUAGCGAACAAGUACCGUGAGGGAAAGAUGAAAAGCACUUUGGAAAGAGAGUUAAACAGUACGUGAAAUUGCUGAAAGGGAAACGCUUGAAGUCAGUCGCGUUGUCCGGAACUCAGCCUUGCUUCGGCUUGGUGCAUUUUCCGGGCGACGGGCCAGCAUCGAUUUUGACCGUCGGAAAAGGGCUGAGGGAAUGUGGCACCUUCGGGUGUGUUAUAGCCUUCAGUCGCAUACGGCGGUUGGGAUCGAGGAACGCAGCACGCCUUAUGGCUGGGGUUCGCCCACAUUCGUGCUUAGGAUGCUGGCAUAAUGGCUUUAAACGACCCGUCUUGAAACACGGACCAAGGAGUCUAACAUGCCUGCGAGUGUUUGGGUGGAAAACCCGAGCGCGUAAUGAAAGUGAAAG
Molecule: ribosomal RNA, 674 nt
Filed under: Trametes gibbosa
Lineage: Eukaryota; Fungi; Basidiomycota; Agaricomycetes; Polyporales; Polyporaceae
Description: eukaryotic LSU rRNA
Rfam family: Eukaryotic large subunit ribosomal RNA
Source: RNAcentral